AGUAACACGUGGAUAACCUACCUAUAAGACUGGGAUAACUUCGGGAAACCGGAGCUAAUACCGGAUAAUAUAUUGAACCGCAUGGUUCAAUAGUGAAAGACUGUUUUGCUGUCACUUAUAGAUGGAUCCGCGCCGCAUUAGCUAGUUGGUAAGGUAACGGCUUACCAAUGCAACGAUGCGUAGCCGACCUGAGAGGGUGAUCGGCCACACUGGAACUGAGACACGGUCCAG
This 231-nucleotide ribosomal RNA is filed under the name uncultured Staphylococcus sp. RNAcentral describes it as "partial 16S ribosomal RNA". It matches the Rfam family "Bacterial small subunit ribosomal RNA", at positions 109 to 334 of the family's 1533-position model. Lineage: Bacteria; Bacillati; Bacillota; Bacilli; Caryophanales; Staphylococcaceae. The record is from RNAcentral.